Molecule: ribosomal RNA, 404 nt
Filed under: uncultured bacterium
Lineage: Bacteria
Description: partial 16S ribosomal RNA
Rfam family: Bacterial small subunit ribosomal RNA
Source: RNAcentral
AUUGAACGCUGGCGGCAGGCCUAACACAUGCAAGUCGAACGAGUGGCGGACGGGUGAGUAAUGCUUGGGAAUCUGCCUUAUGGAGGGGGAUAACUACUGGAAACUGUAGCUAAUACCGCGUACCAUCGGAUGUGCCCAAGUGGGAUUAGGUAGUUGGUGGGGUAAAGGCUCACCAAGCCGACGAUCUCUAGCUGGUCUGAGAGGAUGACCAGACACACUGGGACUGAGAAUCGGCCCAGACUCCUACGGGAGGGAGCAGUGGGGAAUAUUGCGCAAUGGGGGCAACCUGACGCAGCCAUGCCGCGUGAAUGAAGAAGGCCUUCGGGUUGUAAAGUGCUUUCGGUAGAGAGGCGUUAACUACAGAAGAAGAAACGGCUAACUCCGUGCCAGCAGCCGCGGUAAAC